Molecule: ribosomal RNA, 489 nt
Filed under: uncultured bacterium
Lineage: Bacteria
Description: partial 16S ribosomal RNA
Rfam family: Bacterial small subunit ribosomal RNA
Source: RNAcentral
AGUGAACGCUGGCGGUAGGCCUAACACAUGCAAGUCGAACGGCAGCACAGGAGAGCUUGCUCUCUAGGUGGCGAGUGGCGGACGGGUGAGGAAUACAUCGGAAUCUGCCCAGUCGUGGGGGAUAACGUAGGGAAACUUACGCUAAUACCGCAUACGACCUUCGGGUGAAAGAGGGGGAUCGCAAGACCUCUCGCGAUUGGAUGAGCCGAUGUCGGAUUAGCUAGUUAGCGGGGUAAUGGCCCACCAAGGCGACGAUCCGUAGCUGGUCUGAGAGGAUGAUCAGCCACACUGGAACUGAGACACGGUCCAGACUCCUACGGGAGGCAGCAGUGGGGAAUAUUGGACAAUGGGCGCAAGCCUGAUCCAGCCAUACCGCGUGGGUGAAGAAGGCCUUCGGGUUGUAAAGCCCUUUUGUUGGGAAAGAAAUCUUUCAGGCUAAUACCCUGGGAGGAUGACGGUACCCAAAGAAUAAGCACCGGCGAACUUCGU